CGAGCCGGCCAGGCAGCCGCCGUCGCCGCGGGGGUUCCCCCGGAGGCGGAGGAAAGUCCGGGCUCCACGGAACAGGGCGCCAGGUAAUCCCUGGGGGGCGCGAGCCCACGGAAAGUGCAACAGAGAGCAGACCGCCGCGGCCCACCGCCUCCGGGCGAACGCCGCGGUAAGGGUGAAAGGGUGCGGUAAGAGCGCACCGCGUGCGACGGUAACGUCGGCGGCUAGGCAAACCCCGCCCGGAGCAAGGCCAAAUAGGAAUCCGCAGGGCGUGUUCCGCGCCGGAUUCGGGUAGGCCGCAAGAGGCGACCGGUGACGGUCGUUCCCAAGAUGAAUGGCUGCCCGCGACAGAACCCGGCUUAUCGGCCGGCUCGCUCC
This 375-nucleotide RNase P RNA is filed under the name Gammaproteobacteria bacterium. Its description in RNAcentral is "RNase P RNA component class A". It matches the Rfam family "Bacterial RNase P class A". From Rfam's summary of the family: Ribonuclease P (RNase P) is a ubiquitous endoribonuclease, found in archaea, bacteria and eukarya as well as chloroplasts and mitochondria. Its best characterised activity is the generation of mature 5'-ends of tRNAs by cleaving the 5'-leader elements of precursor-tRNAs. Lineage: Bacteria; Pseudomonadati; Pseudomonadota; Gammaproteobacteria. The record is from RNAcentral.